This 747-nucleotide long non-coding RNA is filed under the name Homo sapiens (human). Its description in RNAcentral is "HSALNT0117810". Lineage: Eukaryota; Metazoa; Chordata; Mammalia; Primates; Hominidae. The record is from RNAcentral.
GGAGGUCUACUGGACGGGGCAGCACUGCAGCUGGGAGUGGAGGAACCUGAAGGAGCAGACUGGGGGGCCCCACGAGGGGCCACGGGACACCCAGGGAGGGUGGGGAGCUGCUUAGAAGAGGUUGGAGCCCAGGGAGGGCCUGGGUGGGACUGUCACGGGGCGAGUGGAGAGAUGGGCUGUGGGCCGAGACCCAAGGCUAUAAACUGGGAGGGGCCGUGAGCCCGCCCACGGGGAGCAGCGAUCCACAGCCGCCUCUGUGGAGCCCGAUGUGUCUCAGCCCUUCCUCCCCUACGGGCCUCUCCAUUUGCCCCCCUCCUGCUUUAAUUACCAGCAUCUAGGGCAGCCGGCACGCCAGGCGGCUUCGCACUAAUUAAAGUGGGGGCUUUACAGGAUGGCGCCGUCCCCCCAGGCCCGGGAGACCUCACAGCGCCAGUGACCCACAGGCCAGAUCAUUCCCGAGUUAAACAGGCAGAGACCAGGCCUGGAGCCUGCAGCCAGGGCCGACGACACGGACCCUGAAGGUCCCCAGGGCCCCUCCCUGAGCCUGCAGGCACAUCCCUGCCCCACCAAAGCUCAAACCCACCUCUCCUGGAAAUCCCCACCGCAUGUGCUCUCCCGGGAGCUGCAGAGCUGAGGGGAGAAGUCCGCUGUGACAUCCACUGUGAAGUCCGCCGUGAGCCCCUCGGGCAGGCCUGGGUCACACCCCACCUUGUCUCUGGCUCCUAGGGCGCAGUCCAAGGCAUGGUU